UGUGCUGUCGGAAGAUGAAACCUGAGAGUGAUCCAUCGGCCGAGUGCCUGGCACAAUGGUGACACUCAGCCAGCUGACACAGCACG
This 86-nucleotide small nucleolar RNA is filed under the name Pogona vitticeps (central bearded dragon). Its description in RNAcentral is "Small nucleolar RNA SNORD71 (ENSPVIG00000011322.1)". It matches the Rfam family "Small nucleolar RNA SNORD71". Rfam says of the family: snoRNA HBII-239 belongs to the family of C/D snoRNAs. Lineage: Eukaryota; Metazoa; Chordata; Lepidosauria; Squamata; Agamidae. The record is from Rfam by way of RNAcentral.